RNAcentral lists this ribosomal RNA (380 nucleotides) under uncultured eukaryote. Its description in RNAcentral is "partial 18S ribosomal RNA". It matches the Rfam family "Eukaryotic small subunit ribosomal RNA", at positions 592 to 976 of the family's 1831-position model. The record is from RNAcentral.
CAAUAGCGUAUAUUAAAGUUGUUGCGGUUAAAAAGCUCGUAGUUGGAUUUCUGCUGAGAACGACCGGUCCGCCCUUUGGGUGUGUAUCUGGCUCUUUCUUGGCAUCUUCUUGGUGAACGUUGCUGCACUUGACUGUGUGGAGCGCUACCCAGGACUUUUACUUUGAGGAAAUUAGAGUGUUUCAAGCAGGCAUACGCCUUGAAUACAUUAGCAUGGAAUAAUAAGAUAGGACCUCGGUUCUAUUUUGUUGGUUUCUAGAGCUGAGGUAAUGAUUAAUAGGGAUAGUUGGGGGCAUUCGUAUUUAACUGUCAGAGGUGAAAUUCUUAGAUUUGUUCAAGACGAACUACUGCGAAAGCAUUUGCCAAGUACGUUCCCAUUAA